CUUUCUCGGUCCAUAGAGGAACGUCAGGCGCUGGGAGAGUUUAAGUCGUUGAAGUGGUAGAAAGCGUUUCGGGUGGCGGAGGAGAUCCCUGCCAGUGCAGAGAAGCGUCCGCGGAAUCCAGGAAGUGAUGAGAGACCUGAACUCCUGCAGAGGAUACAGGAGGUGACUGUCAGGAGGCAAAGUGGAGAAGUACACACAGAUCUACCGGCUUAGCCAGGAGCCACCAGUAUUGGGAAGCUUGAACAAUGUGCAAUUUCCCUAUUCUAAGUCUCGACAUAGAACAUCAUCAGGCAGGAAGAGAGCCAGGUGACAAGGUGCUCUGGGAACGUCUGGUGAACCGAAGGGACUGCCUACUGGCCACAGUUCUUUUUCAACAAGGCUAAUGAUAAUGGUGGCCAGGAAUUUUUUUUCUCUCUGCCGGGUGUUGCAGAACCUGAACACUGAGGCCAUAUUGUUCCAGCUUUGACACAUGUUCUUACUUUCUGGUGCCACAAGACAUUCCAGGUUCAUCUCACAUGUUACCCGUCCAGGCCCUGGAAUCAACAAUUUCUGCAAGGAGCUCUGAUUCCUGUCUUACUUAGAGUGGUGUUUGGAAACCAAGAUCUGAGCACAAGAUGUGACACUGGCCAAAAUUUCUGACAAUUACAAGUUGAUGAAAAUUCAGAGUAAUUGGAAUUCAUAUGCUUAUGAGAAUUGGUACAGUUGGUUUGGAAAACAAUUUAGCAUUAGCUAAAUACCAGUAAUUCCAUUGGAAAAACUCUUGCCUGUGUGCAACAAGAGUGCGCACAACUUUGUUCAGAACCGCACAAAACUGAGAUAACCCAAUGGCCAUCGGUCAGAAGAAAGAUGAAUAAAGUGUGUUAUAUUCUUCAAGCAGAAUCCUUUAAAGCAGUGGAAAUGAAAUACAGCUACACACACCAACAUGAGUGACUCUCAGACACAUAAUACUGCCCCAAAAUGAGUAUCUGCAGUAUGACUCCAUUUACUUAAAAUCCAUCCACAUGCAAAAUGACACAAUAUGGGCAUUUGUAGGGAUGCACAAAUGAUCAGAUGAGAAAGCUGAAAAGAAAAGGGAAUGAUAACUACAAAAUCCAGGAUAGUGGUUACAGGUAGGGGGUGGGAGGCAGUGGCCUUCAGAGGUAUUGGUAAUAUCAUUUCUUAAGCUGAAAGAUGGGUUAAUGGACACUUGUUUCAUUUAGGCAGGCAUAUAUGUGUGAAAUACUGCAUAAUGAAGGAGGUAAGGAAGGAAAAAGAAGAGAGGAGGAAAAGAAAGGAUGGAAGGAUGGAGGGAAGUAAAGAAAAACAAAAAAGCAUUCCUGUAUGUGGUAUCUUAAGAUCUAGUUAGUGGUAGUUCAAAUUCUGACAUAAAAUAUCUCUUUGGCUUUGGACGAAUCACUAUACUUCUCUGAGACUCAGUUUUCACACCAGUUAAAUGGGAAUGAUGUACUUUGCCCUCUGUGCUUCCCCGUGUUAUUGUGAGGACAGAAUGAAAUACUUGUACCGAUUAAAUAAUACUUCAAAAAAGCAGCGAAGUCUUCAAAAACAUAAAAGAAAAAAAUUGGGGCGCCUGAGUGGCUCAGUGCGUUAAGCAUCAGCCUUCGGUUCAGGUCAUGAUAAAUCACUAAAGAAACUGCAAUCCGGUUCUACUCAGCCUAAAGGAAGGUAAGAGAGUAGACAAUGUUCAUGUACAUUGAGACUUUACCACUUUAAAACCUACCCCAGGGUGCCUGGGUGGCUCAGUGGGUUAAGCCUCUGCCUUCAGCUCAGGUCAUGAUCUUGGGGUCCUGGGA
Molecule: long non-coding RNA, 1790 nt
Organism: Neogale vison (American mink)
Lineage: Eukaryota; Metazoa; Chordata; Mammalia; Carnivora; Mustelidae
Exons: 4
Source: RefSeq, a predicted model, not a curated record